AAAGAACAAAAUUGAGUGAGGAAGUAUUGGUUCUAUAUCAAUUCAUAUAGUUACUAUUUAUAUAGUGAAUUUGGAUCCUCAUAAGGACAUUAGUGUUCUUUCUCUCAAUUAAGUUAAGAGAUUAAUUCAUGAAGAUCAAACUCAAUACCUUCAAGAAUUAAAGUAUGAAGUGUCAUAAAAGUAUUGACUGAAAAGAAAAUUCAUGUUCGU
Molecule: long non-coding RNA, 210 nt
Filed under: Trifolium pratense (red clover)
Lineage: Eukaryota; Viridiplantae; Streptophyta; Magnoliopsida; Fabales; Fabaceae
Description: long non-coding RNA (TPRA_LNC004290)
Source: RNAcentral